AUUCUAUUAUCCAACAUGGUACAUAUACCCGAAUUUUCUGUCGAAGUCAUUAAGUUUCUAAAGAAAGCAAAGAUGAGAAGAUAGUUUAUACUUACGCUUUCAGUUUUUUUUGUUUUUUUGCAUACCCAUUUGGCAACCUUGUCCCUCUUCAGCUUACUCUGCAGAUAAUGGCCGGUUCUCUGUUAUAUAAAUCUCCCAGCCCAGGCUUUGCAUUUUCAUUAGGAAUAGUUUUGAAAUUUUAGGAAUUAAUUUCUUUUGGGUAAUGCUUAGCUUCAGCUGUGAAUUAUGUCUAUGCACGAGUUGUAAACUGUGCUCUGGAGUUACACGUCUCUGCUGGAAGGAAAUGGCAGCUCUCUGCUCUGCACAGGAAAGGUUCAGAAAUGAAAGAUACACACAUCCGGGAUGAAAUCAAAAGUCAGUUUUAAGGUAUAAAUUCCAUAAGCCAUGUAAAUAAAUUUAAUUUUUGCCAAAACUGUGUUUUUACACAAAUUCAUUGAAAUAGAGUCCUCUUUGAAUGUUAGGCAGAAUUUACAGCAGUGGUGGAUUAUUAGAACAACAUGGUGUAACAUCUUGAUAAAAUUAAAAAUUUCGCCGUUAGCCUCAUAUUCCUAGAGAAAAAUGCUCAUGCACCACAAGCAGGCUGCAACUGGUAGGAAAUUGCAGUGCUACAGCAUAGAGAAGCAAGCUAUUUUUUUAAUAUAUUAAUCUGACAGAAAAUUCGAGCCAGUCAUUUUAUGAAGAUUUAGACAUGGGCAGUCGUUGAAUUUUACCAAAUAAUGUUCCCUCCUAUUUAUAUUUUAUUUCUCAUAGUAACUGAGCACAUCACCGUGUUUUCUCCUUUUUAAGGAGAAAGUAAACUUGUCUUUUUAGUUUCAUGAAAAAACAGGCAUUUCUGAUCGCUUCCAUUUAGUUACAAUUUGUAAAGGCCAUACUGCAAUUCAAACGAGGGGACGGUCUUUUGUUGUGUGUCUGCGAGCUGAUGGGACUGGCUUUUCUUCUCAUUGUCGUAGUUUGAAAUUGAAACACGGCAUUGCUGAGAAAAUGCCAUGAAAAUAUAACCCACUACAUUCCAGGAAAAUAAAUAAGCAAGGCCACCCAAAUUUUCAAUUAGUGCUCGCGCAGAACGCAGGAAAUGGCAAGAGAUCCGUGCGCGGCGCCCCAGGCCGGGUCGGGACCCGAAGCAGUGACAGGAAGGCUGGAAGGGGACGCCGGCACCGUGUGAAGAUGGCCCAUCUCCAAGGAAAAUGCGCGCUCACAGGCUGGCGCCGACUUCCUGAAGCAGACGGGGGAGUCUUGCAUCCUCGCCACGCGCGCUGCUCGGCUUCAAGAGCUGCAUGUUUAAUGGCGAAGUAACGCUGGAAAGCACUAGUGGCGUUACAUAUUCUACAUCAUAAGCUCACUAAACAUUCUCGUUGUCCCCCACGGACACAGUUUUAGCCACUGGAGCCAGCAAUAUUCUGGACAGUUGGGGAAAAUGAUAAAUUGCUUUUGAUUUAAAGCGUCAGGCCUAAGGAUCGAUUGUUCCCACUUGGUGGCACUGCUUGUUAGUGGUAUCAGCCAGCGGGGAAGCCACUGGUGUGGAGGCGAAGAAGGGGCUUGGCGUCCUCCCUCCCCAAAGGGAAAGCCAGUCCUCCUCUCCCAAGUCAGCAAGAGAGGAGUGAAAUCACUGGGGAGCUCCCAUGGACUCCAGUUGUUAAACCGAGGAGGAGCGCUGGCAGGGGACCCCGCCGGGCUGCACGUGGAGCGCAGGACGAGAGCGGGGGAGCAGAAGACAGAGACGCAUCCUCCAGCUGAAGAGGAAGAUGUCUGCAUUUUUCCAAAUAAAAGUUGUUUCUUCAGCCUAGGUCCUGGGAGGAAGCAUGGAUGGAGCAGAACCACAGCCAAGAUGGACGUAACGGGAGUGAGAGAGAAGCCUCUGCUGCGGUGUGCCCUGGGAUUUCAGAGCUGUUUGUUAUUGUCUCAGAACACAGCCUCAGCCACUGAUACAUUACACUGCUGCCAAAGCAGAGAUGGCUUGGCCAGUGGUCACUCAUUCCAUUUUGUACAAUUUAACCUUGAUCCAGGGCAUUAUAUAAUCAUGAUUCUAAUUUUUUUACUAAG
RNAcentral lists this long non-coding RNA (2100 nucleotides) under Equus caballus (horse). RNAcentral's name for it is "lncRNA (ENSECAG00000053172.1)". The record is from RNAcentral. Lineage: Eukaryota; Metazoa; Chordata; Mammalia; Perissodactyla; Equidae.